Molecule: ribosomal RNA, 382 nt
Filed under: uncultured archaeon
Lineage: Archaea
Description: bacterial SSU rRNA
Rfam family: Archaeal small subunit ribosomal RNA
Source: RNAcentral
AAACUCUACAAUGCAGGCAACUGCGAUAGGGGAACAUCGAGUGGCUGUCAUAUUGAUAGUCUGUCCAUCCGCCUAAAAAGCGGGUGUUAGCAAGGGCCGGGCAAGACCGGUGCCAGCCGCCGCGGUAAUACCGGCGGCUCGAGUGGUGGCCGAUAUUAUUGAGUCUAAAGGGUCCGUAGCCGGCUUCGCAAGUCUCUCGGGAAAUCCAGCGGCUUAACCGUUGGGCUGUCGGGGGGUACUACGUUGCUUGGGACUGGGAGAGGUAGGAGGUACUCAGGGGGUAGGAGUGAAAUCCUGUAAUCCUCUGGGGACCACCGGUGGCGAAGGCGUCCUACCAGAACAGGUCCGACGGUGAGGGACGAAAGCUAGGGGCACGAACCGG